RNAcentral lists this ribosomal RNA (422 nucleotides) under uncultured bacterium. RNAcentral describes it as "bacterial SSU rRNA". It matches the Rfam family "Bacterial small subunit ribosomal RNA", at positions 355 to 774 of the family's 1533-position model. The record is from RNAcentral.
UGAGGAAUAUUGGACAAUGGAUGGAAAUCUGAUCCAGCCAUGCCGCGUGCAGGAAGACGGCCCUAUGGGUUGUAAACUGCUUUUGUAUGGGAGCAAUAAGGACUACGUGUAGUUUGAUGAGAGUACCAUACGAAUAAGCAUCGGCUAACUCCGUGCCAGCAGCCGCGGUAAUACGGAGGAUGCGAGCGUUAUCCGGAUUUAUUGGGUUUAAAGGGUGCGUAGGCGGCGUUAUAAGUCAGUGGUGAAAUAUUUCGGCUUAACCGAGAGACUGCCAUUGAUACUGUGUUGCUAGAAUAUGGUUGCUGUGAGUGGAAUGUGUGGUGUAGCGGUGAAGUGCUUAGAUAUCACACAGAAUAUCGAUUGCGAAGGCAGCUCACAAAGCCAUUAUUGACGCUGAGGCACGAAAGUGUGGGGAUCAAACA